This 86-nucleotide small RNA is filed under the name Flavobacterium fluvii. RNAcentral's name for it is "Flavo-1 RNA". It matches the Rfam family "Flavo-1 RNA". Lineage: Bacteria; Pseudomonadati; Bacteroidota; Flavobacteriia; Flavobacteriales; Flavobacteriaceae. The record is from RNAcentral.
UAAUUGCGUGCGCGUGAGGGAUAGAAGCGGUAUCCUUUUGUGAAGCGACAGCGGAACAAAAGAUAUAGCGGAUAGCCCGACGGCUU